Molecule: long non-coding RNA, 516 nt
Filed under: Mus caroli (Ryukyu mouse)
Lineage: Eukaryota; Metazoa; Chordata; Mammalia; Rodentia; Muridae
Description: lncRNA (MGP_CAROLIEiJ_G0005326.1)
Source: RNAcentral
AGAUGAUGAAUCAGGGAGGCUUUCUGAUGUCCUCUGCUCUCUGGCCCUCCACCGUUCAUUCUCCUGUGUAAGUGCCAGUGUCUGUUUCUUUCUCCAGCCUCACGCUCUAAACAAGAUGCCUCUGGCAGGAGGCCUGGGUAGAUGGAGUCUUCCAAGUCCAAUGCAACUUCACUGUUCCUGACUUAUGAAGCGUGAGAUUUCAGCCAUCUCCUACGAUGAGGAGUCUCAGUCCUCAUACAUAGAGGGAACAUUUCUGUCUGACCCUAGCAAGGUGUCAGGAGACAUGCACAGUGCUGGUCUGACUUGCACUGGAAUUCUUGUCUACUGUCAUGUUGAGCCCUCGCCUGCCCUCUCUCAGUCCAGCCUGCCAAGCAGGGACCACAGUGGUACCUGCCACAGAACUGCACGCUGCCUGAGUUAGUUCCCAUAGCUGUUAGCAAAGAUCCUCAGUGACCGAGCCCCUUGUUAGAGCUGCCCAGUACUUAACAGCUGUUGAAAUAAAUACACACUUAUUCU